CUCAGAUUGAACGCUGGCGGCAGGCCUAACACAUGCAAGUCGAGCGGUAGCACAGAGAGCUUGCUCUCGGGUGACGAGCGGCGGACGGGUGAGUAAUGUCUGGGAAACUGCCUGAUGGAGGGGGAUAACUACUGGAAACGGUAGCUAAUACCGCAUAACGUCGCAAGACCAAAGUGGGGGACCUUCGGGCCUCAUGCCAUCAGAUGUGCCCAGAUGGGAUUAGCUGGUAGGUGGGGUAACGGCUCACCUAGGCGACGAUCCCUAGCUGGUCUGAGAGGAUGACCAGCCACACUGGAACUGAGACACGGUCCAGACUCCUACGGGAGGCAGCAGUGGGGAAUAUUGCACAAUGGGCGCAAGCCUGAUGCAGCCAUGCCGCGUGUGUGAAGAAGGCCUUCGGGUUGUAAAGCACUUUCAGCGGGGAGGAAGGCGGUGAGGUUAAUAACCUCAUCGAUUGACGUUACCCGCAGAAGAAGCACCGGCUAACUCCGUGCCAGCAGCCGCGGUAAUACGGAGGGUGCAAGCGUUAAUCGGAAUUACUGGGCGUAAAGCGCACGCAGGCGGUCUGUCAAGUCGGAUGUGAAAUCCCCGGGCUCAACCUGGGAACUGCAUUCGAAACUGGCAGGCUAGAGUCUUGUAGAGGGGGGUAGAAUUCCAGGUGUAGCGGUGAAAUGCGUAGAGAUCUGGAGGAAUACCGGUGGCGAAGGCGGCCCCCUGGACAAAGACUGACGCUCAGGUGCGAAAGCGUGGGGAGCAAACAGGAUUAGAUACCCUGGUAGUCCACGCUGUAAACGAUGUCGAUUUGGAGGUUGUGCCCUUGAGGCGUGGCUUCCGGAGCUAACGCGUUAAAUCGACCGCCUGGGGAGUACGGCCGCAAGGUUAAAACUCAAAUGAAUUGACGGGGGCCCGCACAAGCGGUGGAGCAUGUGGUUUAAUUCGAUGCAACGCGAAGAACCUUACCUGGUCUUGACAUCCACAGAACUUUCCAGAGAUGGAUUGGUGCCUUCGGGAACUGUGAGACAGGUGCUGCAUGGCUGUCGUCAGCUCGUGUUGUGAAAUGUUGGGUUAAGUCCCGCAACGAGCGCAACCCUUAUCCUUUGUUGCCAGCGGUUAGGCCGGGAACUCAAAGGAGACUGCCAGUGAUAAACUGGAGGAAGGUGGGGAUGACGUCAAGUCAUCAUGGCCCUUACGACCAGGGCUACACACGUGCUACAAUGGCAUAUACAAAGAGAAGCGACCUCGCGAGAGCAAGCGGACCUCAUAAAGUAUGUCGUAGUCCGGAUUGGAGUCUGCAACUCGACUCCAUGAAGUCGGAAUCGCUAGUAAUCGUAGAUCAGAAUGCUACGGUGAAUACGUUCCCGGGCCUUGUACACACCGCCCGUCACACCAUGGGAGUGGGUUGCAAAAGAAGUAGGUAGCUUAACCUUCGGGAGGGCGCUUACCACUUUGUGAUUCAUGACUGGGGUGAAGUCG
RNAcentral lists this ribosomal RNA (1473 nucleotides) under Klebsiella pneumoniae. RNAcentral describes it as "16S ribosomal RNA". It matches the Rfam family "Bacterial small subunit ribosomal RNA". The record is from RNAcentral. Lineage: Bacteria; Pseudomonadati; Pseudomonadota; Gammaproteobacteria; Enterobacterales; Enterobacteriaceae.